CACAACUGAGGAUUGUCAAAAACCCUGUGGAUCUUGGUCUCUAUGGCCUCUCUCCAACACAGAUUACAGUCCAAGAAUUCCUCAUGAAUGCAAAACACAAGGAAUCCAGCAUUUGUAAUGAGCUCCUAUCUAGAGCAGCUCUGGAGUCAGUCGAGCUGAACACAGAAGAAACUGGCACAUGAUAUCCAGUAUCUACUUCAGACUUAGUGAAGAGUCCUUUCAUAUAUAUCGAUCUGUAGAGAAAUGAGUAAGGAUGGUCUGGCUUUAAAAGGAAAAAGAAGAGAGUGAGAUAUUCAUGAAAUAUAGGCUCCACCAGUGAUGUACCUAAUAAAAGCUGAGGCCUGACUGAUCCA
RNAcentral lists this long non-coding RNA (353 nucleotides) under Phasianus colchicus (ring-necked pheasant). RNAcentral describes it as "lncRNA (ENSPCLG00000008747.1)". Lineage: Eukaryota; Metazoa; Chordata; Aves; Galliformes; Phasianidae. The record is from RNAcentral.